UACGUAGGGGGCAAGCGUUGUCCGGAAUCAUUGGGCGUAAAGAGCGUGUAGGCGGCCUGGUAAGUCCGCUGUGAAAGUCCAGGGCUCAACCCUGGAAUGCCGGUGGAAACUGUCAGGCUCGAGUCCGGAAGAGGCGAGUGGAAUUCUCGGUGUAGCGGUGAAAUGCGUAGAUAUCGAGAGGAACACCUGCGGCGAAGGCGGGUUGCUGGGCCGACACUGACGCUGAUGCGCGAAAGCCAGGGGAGCGAACGGG
This 253-nucleotide ribosomal RNA is filed under the name uncultured bacterium. RNAcentral's name for it is "partial 16S ribosomal RNA". It matches the Rfam family "Bacterial small subunit ribosomal RNA", at positions 524 to 776 of the family's 1533-position model. The record is from RNAcentral.